GACGAACGCUGGCGGCGUGCUUAACACAUGCAAGUCGAACGGAAAGGCCCUGCUUUUGUGGGGUGCUCGAGUGGCGAACGGGUGAGUAACACGUGAGUAACCUGCCCUUGACUUUGGGAUAACUUCAGGAAACUGGGGCUAAUACCGGAUAGGAGCUCCUGCUGCAUGGUGGGGGUUGGAAAGUUUCGGCGGUUGGGGAUGGACUCGCGGCUUAUCAGCUUGUUGGUGGGGUAGUGGCUUUCCAAGGCUUUGACGGGUAGCCGGCCUGAGAGGGUGACCGGCCACAUUGGGACUGCGAUACGGACCAGACGGCAACGGGAGGCAGCAGUGGGGAAUAUUGCACAAUGGGCGGAAGCCUGAUGCGACAACGCCGCGUGCGGGAUGACGGCCUUCGGGUUGUAAACCGCUGUCGCCUGUGACGAAGCGUGAGUGACGGUAAUGGGUAAAGAAGCACCGGCUAACUACGUG
Molecule: ribosomal RNA, 468 nt
Filed under: uncultured bacterium
Lineage: Bacteria
Description: partial 16S ribosomal RNA
Rfam family: Bacterial small subunit ribosomal RNA
Source: RNAcentral